UUUAAAUGUCACAUGUGGGUUUUCGUGUCCAACGUUUAACGGUCCGUCUUAUUUCAAAUUUUUUUAAUUAAUAUGUUCAUUGUUAUUAGAUGAUAAAACAUGAAUGGUACUUUAUGCAUGACUUAUUUUUUAAAAAAUUUUAAAUAAGACGGACGGUUGACACGAAAACCCACAACUGCACUUAAA
Molecule: non-coding RNA, 186 nt
Organism: Oryza glaberrima (African rice)
Lineage: Eukaryota; Viridiplantae; Streptophyta; Magnoliopsida; Poales; Poaceae
Source: Rfam